RNAcentral lists this small RNA (1327 nucleotides) under Pongo abelii (Sumatran orangutan). RNAcentral's name for it is "transcribed unitary pseudogene". Lineage: Eukaryota; Metazoa; Chordata; Mammalia; Primates; Hominidae. The record is from RNAcentral.
CCCCAGGGCGGGGGCGGGAAACAGUGCACGCAGCUGGGCUUUUCCCGGCCUCGGGGGCAACUUACUGUUUUCACAAUCCAAGUGAAAUCUAACACUAUAAAACAAUGCCAAGAGCAAAUGAAGGAAAACAAAAAUCUAAAGGGGCACCUCUGCCCAUCGUUUUGAUUCUUCAAAAGUUUCUGAAAACAUAUGAGAAACACUGUGCGCAGUCUCAGACGUCCGUGUGUCCAGCCAUCAAAAGUGACCUGAAAAGCAGCAUUGACAGUGAUCAGGUGCUCAGGAAGUUUAUGCUUGUGAGACCUGAUGACUCCCCACCAAGAAUCCUACCAGUUUCCUUGGAACCUUUGCUCAUGACCAUUCAAGAUGAGUAUUACACACUGGCGAAAGAGAUCUGCAUCUGGGGCCUUCAACUGAGCAACCCAGAGAUUGCCAGACUUGCUUUGCUUCUGGAAUUGAAGGGGCACACCACCUGCCCGUUUACCACCCUAGAAAUCAUUGAUUGCAAGAUGGAUCUGUGGUCUCUAGAGCGAUUUGGGAAGGCUCUGCGGUUCAGUAGUUUGCAUUCUCUUGUCCUUGAUUACUGCAAAUUUGGAAAUGAAGAACUUGAGAGCAUUUUCUCUGGCCUGGAGAACAACCAAAGGCUUCAAGGCCUCAGUCUGCGUUACUGUGGUCUGGGACCUCAGAGCGGGCUAAGGCUGGGUUCGGUCAUCAGCCAGAGUGCCAUUUGCGAGCUGUUCCUUGAUGGCAAUUACUUGGAAUGUUCCGGAGCACUGGCUCUUCUCAGGCCCAUAGCAGGCUUUGCAGAGACACAGGGGAACGACCAGCCAGCCCCAGGCUCACCAGACGCUGGAAAUCUCCCUCAGCAGCUCCAAGCCAAACAGAGAGGAAGUUCAACUAUGAACCAGAUUACAAAAUCGUCUGAAGCUGUAACAGUGAAAACUACUUCAGGGAAGAAAAAGAGAAAAAAAGGAAUCAAGAAGAAAAUUGAAGGUCUGAUGGAAACUGGUCCUUGGUUAGUGAAGUUGCAUUUGGCAGACAAUGGCAUAGAUGGAAAAGGAAAAGAAGGAGAAAAUGGUUUAUUGGAAUUCAUUCAAACUUUAACAUGCCUGAUCAAAUACUCUGCCCACUUAAAGGAAAUUGACCUUGGAAACAAUGUUCUGGGAGAAAUGGCUGCUGCUAACAUACUUGAAGCGCUGAGAGCCAGAAAGACAGGUAAAUUACUGAUCUUAAAAAUUACAGUCACUCCCCAGAUCUCUUCAGAUACCUUCAGAUCAAUUUGGAAAAAUAGCAAGAAGUCUAAUACUAUCCGUAAAAAGAAGAAAAAGGU